Molecule: long non-coding RNA, 311 nt
Filed under: Pan troglodytes (chimpanzee)
Lineage: Eukaryota; Metazoa; Chordata; Mammalia; Primates; Hominidae
Description: long non-coding RNA NONPTRT000748
Source: RNAcentral
CAGAAAGAAAAACUCUCUUGAAAUCUAGUAAUGUUAAGUCCUUACAUUUUAUUCCUUUUCAAAAUGUUUCUGACGAUUAUAGAAACUUCACCUCCUUAGUAGUUGGGCCAGAGUUUUACAAGUUGCAGUAGUAACCUGGUAAGUAUCUAAUGACGAGAGUCCUGCUUCUCCCCUGCUGGUUAUUUCAGGCAUUGGGACCAGAGCUCUUCCUAGGAAAGACUGAAUUGGGACCAAUUUCUCUUGGUGGAGCUUUGCCACUGGCCUGUGGACAGAGACUGAGGAGAUAGUUGGUGGUCAGGAAAGAGAUGGUU